CACGGGGGGAGCAAGCGUUGUUCGGAAUCACUGGGCGUAAAGGGCGUGUAGGCGGUCAGGUAAGUGGGAUGUGAAAGCCCUCGGCUCACCCGAGGAUCUGCAUCUCAAACUGCCUGGCUUGAGUAUGGGAGAGGAUGAGGGAAUUCCUGGUGUAGCGGUGAAAUGCGUAGAUAUCAGGAGGAACACCGGUGGCGAAGGCGGUUCUCUGGGCAUGUCCUGACGCUGAGGAGCGAAAGUGUGGGGAGCGAACAGG
RNAcentral lists this ribosomal RNA (253 nucleotides) under uncultured bacterium. Its description in RNAcentral is "partial 16S ribosomal RNA". It matches the Rfam family "Bacterial small subunit ribosomal RNA", at positions 524 to 776 of the family's 1533-position model. The record is from RNAcentral.